This is a long non-coding RNA of Lolium rigidum, 597 nucleotides long. RefSeq lists it as uncharacterized. Lineage: Eukaryota; Viridiplantae; Streptophyta; Magnoliopsida; Poales; Poaceae. The record is from RefSeq and is a predicted model, not a curated record. The transcript has 5 exons.
UUCAUGGAUUAAUAUAUGUCUGUAUUUUUACUAGAAGACGAUGAAGAUUUGAAUGUCUGCAUGUAAUGCUUCACAAUUUUACUCCUUGCUUUUGAAGGCUCUGCAUGCUUCUCUUCCAACCAAUUACUUACUAGCUGCAACAGCCUGACAGUAUGUUCCUAAGAUUGUUGUUGCUGAAGAGAUGAUUGCAUGUGAAGAACUGCUACAGAUCAGAUGGCAACCUUUGAUCAGGUUUUCACCUUAUGAUCUCUUGGAGUGAUCUUACCAUUCUAUGGCAACCUUUGAUCAGUCAAUGGAGAUUGACCAUGAUGAUGGCUGCAUAUGAGUGAAGAAGACAAAUGCUCUGGAUGAUGCCAAUAUGUACAAGGAUACAGGGGUGGGUCUAUCAAAUUCCUGCUAUGCAUCUCUGAUACUGGUUAAGAAGCAAAGUGCCAUGGUUAUCAUCACUGUUUUGGAGGAUAUAGACUCUAUGCCUCUCCAUCCCUUGGGCUUCUUUGAGUGCCGAAGUGUUUCAUGCUGAAUGGUACUUGGUAAAUGGAGCACGGUGCUGGAGGGAACAGAGGCGGCUGGACGAGGCAGCGGCGCGAUGGGUUUGGG